UAGGGAAUCUUCGGCAAUGGGGGGAACCCUGACCGAGCAACGCCGCGUGAGUGAAGAAGGUUUUCGGAUCGUAAAGCUCUGUUGUUAAGGAAGGACGAGUGUGAGAAUGGAAAGUUCAUACUGUGACGGUACUUAACCAGAAAGGGACGGCUAACUACGUGCCAGCAGCCGCGGUAAUACGUAGGUCCCGAGCGUUGUCCGGAUUUAUUGGGCGUAAAGCGAGCGCAGGUGGUUAGAUAAGUCUGAAGUUAAAGGCAGUGGCUCAACCAUUGUAGGCUUUGGAAACUGUUUAACUUGAGUGCAGAAGGGGAGAGUGGAAUUCCAUGUGUAGCGGUGAAAUGCGUAGAUAUAUGGAGGAACACCGGUGGCGAAAGCGGCUCUCUGGUCUGUAACUGACGCUGAGGCUCGAAAGCGUGGGGAGCGAACAGGAUUAGAUACCCUGGUAGUCCACGCCGUAACGAUGAGUGCUAGGUGUUAGGUCCUUUCCGGGACUUAGUGCCGCAGCUAACGCAUUAAGCACUCCGCCUGGGGAGUACGACCGCAAGGUU
RNAcentral lists this ribosomal RNA (548 nucleotides) under uncultured bacterium. RNAcentral describes it as "bacterial SSU rRNA". It matches the Rfam family "Bacterial small subunit ribosomal RNA", at positions 355 to 895 of the family's 1533-position model. The record is from RNAcentral.